RNAcentral lists this non-coding RNA (272 nucleotides) under Symbiodinium sp. clade D. Lineage: Eukaryota; Dinophyceae; Suessiales; Symbiodiniaceae. The record is from RNAcentral.
AUACAAGUGGAAGAAAGAAAGAAGAAAGUGAGACAAAAGGAAAAACACAAUGGAAUGAAAUGAAGCGUGGUUUUUGCCUUUUGCUCACUUUGUUCUUCUUUCUCCUCUUGUUCACUGUUGACUUGUGUUGUGUAGUGUGUUGUGUUCACUUUCAUUCAGUUCACGCUUAAUUUCCUUACCAUUGUAACUGAAUGAAAGGAACACACCACAUUACACUACACAACAGGAUUUCGUUUCUUUGUCCUUUUGUUCUUUUGCUUUUCAAUUAAACA